GUGAGUGUAGAGUACCACACCUGAGGAGGAAUAACCCCAAGUACCAGUACAGGCUGGGUGCUGACCUACUAGAGAGCAGCUCUGUAGAGAAGGACCUGGAAGUCUUGGUGGAUGACAAGUUGUCCGUGAGCCUGCAGUGAGUUGUUGUGGCCAGCAGG
Molecule: long non-coding RNA, 158 nt
Organism: Empidonax traillii (willow flycatcher)
Lineage: Eukaryota; Metazoa; Chordata; Aves; Passeriformes; Tyrannidae
Exons: 3
Source: RefSeq, a predicted model, not a curated record